Molecule: long non-coding RNA, 317 nt
Filed under: Chinchilla lanigera (long-tailed chinchilla)
Lineage: Eukaryota; Metazoa; Chordata; Mammalia; Rodentia; Chinchillidae
Description: lncRNA (ENSCLAG00000024037.1)
Source: RNAcentral
CCCUUAUGUGAGGGACAAAGAACCAACUAGCUGUGUCUCUAUUCCUGGGCCUGAAUUUCAUCUCUAUAAGGAAGCACUUCCUUCAAGAAAUAUUUGCUGCAAAUCCUCAACAGCUAGGCAGAAGAAAAGCAGAAGAAAAAUAUGUAAAACUUCUCCCAUUGCGAGCAUUGUAAUCUGCGACAAGUGCCUUUCAAAAGAAGAGUGAGAAAUGGAAGAGGAGGAGGCAGAAGAGAAGAAAAAAUAAUAAGAAUAAGAUAAACAAGAAAUAGAAGAAGAAAAGGUAAGGAAAGAAGUUGGAGAAGGAGUAGAAUAAAAUA